GAUGAACGCUGGCGGCGUGCCUAAUACAUGCAAGUCGAGCGAACAGACGAGGAGCUUGCUCCUCUGACGUUAGCGGCGGACGGGUGAGUAACACGUGGAUAACCUACCUAUAAGACUGGGAUAACUUCGGGAAACCGGAGCUAAUACCGGAUAAUAUAUUGAACCGCAUUGUUCAAUAGUGAAAGACGGUUUUGCUGUCACUUAUAGAUGGAUCCGCGCCGCAUUAGCUAGUUGGUAAGGUAACGGCUUACCAAGGCAACGAUGCGUAGCCGACCUGAGAGGGUGAUCGGCCACACUGGAACUGAGAAACGGUCCAGACUCCUACGGGAGGCAGCAGUAGGGAAUCUUCCGCAAUGGGCGAAAGCCUGACGGAGCAACGCCGCGUGAGUGAUGAAGGUCUUCGGAUCGUAAAACUCUGUUAUUAGGGAAGAACAAAUGUGUAAGUAACUAUGCACGUCUUGACGGUACCUAAUCAGAAAGCCACGGCUAACUACGUG
RNAcentral lists this ribosomal RNA (497 nucleotides) under uncultured bacterium. RNAcentral describes it as "partial 16S ribosomal RNA". It matches the Rfam family "Bacterial small subunit ribosomal RNA", at positions 28 to 507 of the family's 1533-position model. The record is from RNAcentral.